RNAcentral lists this small RNA (81 nucleotides) under Flavobacterium araucananum. RNAcentral describes it as "Flavo-1 RNA". It matches the Rfam family "Flavo-1 RNA". The record is from RNAcentral. Lineage: Bacteria; Pseudomonadati; Bacteroidota; Flavobacteriia; Flavobacteriales; Flavobacteriaceae.
GAAUAGCCCCGAUAGAAACGGCAUCCUUUUUGUGUCCGUCACGACGGACAGGAAAAGAUAUAGUGCAGAGCGGGACAGGAG